This 627-nucleotide unclassified non-coding RNA is filed under the name Hevea brasiliensis (rubber tree). The record is from RNAcentral. Lineage: Eukaryota; Viridiplantae; Streptophyta; Magnoliopsida; Malpighiales; Euphorbiaceae.
AUUUGAAUGAGGCCUCCGCGAGCACUACUUAAGAAUGUCGAUUUUCGCUUCACACUGACACUCCAAGGCCUCAGUAAAAUACCCUGGAAUCAGUAUAUCAAUUUCUCAUGAAAACCUGAUUUGCAACUUAAGUUACAUGCAGCAAGUCAUCCAAAUCUAUCCUCGUUACAUCUCAAUGCUUUGUUGAAGAUGAUCCUAUAGCGAGACCGGUGGUGCAGUAGCUCCCUCAAACUCAUUAGGCUUCAGAAUUUCAGACAACAACUGAUUCACCAAGUGGCCGAUGGACGUGACUAGUUACCUUAGCAGAUUUGAACAGUUCAUCAAGGACUUCAGACAAUGUUGGAUGUGCGUGCACUGCGAACUUUAUAUCCUGCACGGAUGUUCCCAAUGCUAUGGCGUUGGACGCUUCAUGAAUAAGGUCAGCAGCAUGCAUACCAAAGAUAUGAACUCCAAGAAUUUCCCCAUUGUCCGGUCUGUAUAUUAACUUCGCAAGCCCUUCCCCUUCAUUUUCCGCCAGUGCCUUUGUGUUUGCCUUAAAGCUUGUUUUUGCAAUGCUUAUCUCAAACCCCUCUUUUUCAGCUUUCUCUCGAGCUUGCGGCUCCGUCAACCCAACCAUGCUGAUUUCAG